Molecule: ribosomal RNA, 484 nt
Filed under: uncultured bacterium
Lineage: Bacteria
Description: partial 16S ribosomal RNA
Rfam family: Bacterial small subunit ribosomal RNA
Source: RNAcentral
AUUGAACGCUGGCGGCAGGCCUAACACAUGCAAGUCGAGCGGACGAAGGGAGCUUGCUCCUGGAUUCAGCGGCGGACGGGUGAGUAAUGCCUAGGAAUCUGCCUUGUAGUGGGGGAUAACGUCCGGAAACGGGCGCUAAUAUCGCAUACGUCGUGAGGGAGAAAGUGGGGGAUCUUCGGACCUCACGCCAUCAGAUGAGCCUAGGUCGGAUUAGCUAGCUGGUGGGGUAAAGGCCUACCAAGGCGACGUUCCGUAACUGGUCUGAGAGGAUGAUCAGUCACACUGGAACUGAGACACGGUCCAGACUCCUACGGGAAGCAGCAGUGGGGAAUAUUGGACAAUGGGCGAAAGCCUGAUCCAGCCAUGCCGCGUGUGUGAAGAAGGUCUUCGGAUUGUAAAGCGCUUUAAGUUGGAGGAAAGUACAGUAAUUUAAUACCGUACGAUUUUGACGUUACCAACAGAAUAAGCACCGGCUAACUUCGUG